AGCGAACGCUGGCGGCAGGCCUAACACAUGCAAGUCGAACGGACCCUUCGGGGUUAGUGGCGGACGGGUGAGUAACACGUGGGAACGUGCCUUUAGGUUCGGAAUAGCUCCUGGAAACGGGUGGUAAUGCCGAAUGUGCCCUUCGGGGAAAGGAUUUAUCGCCUUUAGUAGCGGCCCGCGUCUGAUUAGCUUGUUGGUGGGGUAAGUGGCCCACCAAGGCUACGAUCAGUAGCUGGUCUGAGAGGAUGACCAGCCACAUUGGGAC
RNAcentral lists this ribosomal RNA (265 nucleotides) under uncultured bacterium. Its description in RNAcentral is "partial 16S ribosomal RNA". It matches the Rfam family "Bacterial small subunit ribosomal RNA", at positions 29 to 319 of the family's 1533-position model. The record is from RNAcentral.